Molecule: long non-coding RNA, 356 nt
Organism: Myotis daubentonii (Daubenton's bat)
Lineage: Eukaryota; Metazoa; Chordata; Mammalia; Chiroptera; Vespertilionidae
Exons: 2
Source: RefSeq, a predicted model, not a curated record
CUAAGACCAGGACAGUGCAAUUACUCUAAAUUGUUUCGAUGGCUCUAGAUAAUGACUUCCUGCCAACUCAGUGGCUCUAGAUAAUGUGUUCCUGUCAACCCAGCGGUCCCAGAUGAUGUGUUUCUGUCAACUCAGUGAUCUAGAGACCCCAAACUAUAAUUAACAUGCUUAAUUUCUGCUUCUGUAAACUACUUUUUUUGCGAACCAGGUUCCUCAUUCCAAACCCUGAGAUGUAAUCAAUACCUUUGUGAUUUUUUGCCUAUAUAACCCUGGAACUGUGACCAAAUAGGUGCUAUGAGAUUUGGGAAUGACCCCUCAUAGUCCCGGAUUGCAAUAAAUGUGACUCUUUAAUUCGA